GUAUGAUACUUAUGAAAAAUUGUAAAGAAAUGUUGUAUUCUGAGAAAAGUAUUAUGGUUCUGCAUGCCAUUGUAUGUUGAAAUUUGGGGGUCAAGCAUGUCUCACACCAAAUUGACCUCACACCUCGAGAAUUCAUUACUUGGACUAACCUGUGCUGGCAAAUGCUUAUUGUGACAAAACAAGAUAAAGGGAAAGAAGCAUAAUUGUCACGGCGUUGCCUAGGCGUCUAGGCUCUUUCUUGGUCCAAGGCAACAACAUGUAGCCAAUCCCAUUUAUUUGGGAUAAGGCUGAGUUGAGUUGGACAUCUAGCAAUACUUGAAAAAUGCUUUUGCUGCCGCACUCUUUCGUUAUAUGUAAUUGAAAUGGUUACUGUGCACCCCCUGCUUUUGGUUACUCUGAUUUUACUUCUUUAUGUAUGUCUCCUAACUUAUACACUUUUUUAUUUUUUGUGUUUUCUAAAUCCUGUCCUUCCCUUUCUCCAGAUGAGUGGUUUUUGUUUACAGUAUGAAUGAUUGUUCGUCUUGCAUCUCUUCUCAACAAAUGAUUGUGUUAUUAUAGGUUACUUAUGUUCUCAUUUCCGUAUCAUCUUUUUUGAUAUUAUAUUCCAGUUUUACAGGGUGAUUUGUAGUUCUGAUAUUAACUUUUAAUUUUCUGUUAGCUCUGCAAGACUGCUGAAGAAAACCCUGACAUUUUAUUCUUAAAAGUGAAUUUUGAUGAGAACAAGUCUAUGUGUAAAAGCUUGAAUGUAAAGGUGCUUCCUUAUUUUCACUUCUAUCGUGGAGCAGAUGGGCUAUUGGAAUCAUUUUCGUGCUCACUUGCAAAGUUUCAGAGAAUAAAGGAUGCCAUUGCAACACAUAACACGGCUCGAUGUAGCAUUGGUCCACCCUGAGGCAUUGAAGAUUAUAACCUUCCUGAAACCUCCCCGGUUGCAGCUGCAAAGGACAAGAUAGUUGAAUCUAGUUCAAGAUAAAUCCUUAUUUCCAUUUAUCAAUCAUUGAUCUUGUUGUGUCUUUGUGCAAAGGACACUAAGCUGGUGCUUUACAAGCAGUUCAUGGUGGAGGGGUCCUCACUCCUAAAUUGUAUAUGCUUAGCUUUUCUUGUAAAAGAAUUCUUCAGAAGUCCAGGUUCUGCUGUAUUCUGUGCAAUUCUUUUUAGCUUGCAAUGUACAAUAUUAAAGAUAUCUUGUUUGAAAAGGAAAUUCUAGAUUCUAAACAUUCAUUCAAUAUACUCUUUUUGUCUACUUGGUGUUACUC
This is a long non-coding RNA of Macadamia integrifolia, 1253 nucleotides long. RefSeq lists it as uncharacterized. Lineage: Eukaryota; Viridiplantae; Streptophyta; Magnoliopsida; Proteales; Proteaceae. The transcript is spliced from 2 exons. The record is from RefSeq and is a predicted model, not a curated record.